GAUGAACGCUGGCGGCGUGCCUAAUACAUGCAAGUCGAGCGAACAGACGAGGAGCUUGCUCCUCUGACGUUAGCGGCGGACGGGUGAGUAACACGUGGAUAACCUACCUAUAAGACUGGGAUAACUUCGGGAAACCGGAGCUAAUACCGGAUAAUAUAUUGAACCGCAUGGUUCAAUAGUGAAAGACGGUUUUGCUGUCACUUAUAGAUGGAUCCGCGCCGCAUUAGCUAGUUGGUAAGGUAACGGCUUACCAAGGCAACGAUGCGUAGCCGACCUGAGAGGGUGAUCAGCCACACUGGAACUGAGACACGGUCCAGACUCCUACGGGAGGCAGCAGUAGGGAAUCUUCCGCAAUGGGCGAAAGCUUGACGGAGCAACGCCGCGUGAGUGAUGAAGGUCUUCGGAUCGUAAAACUCUGUUAUUAGGGAAGAACAAAUGUGUAAGUAACUAUUCACGUCUUGACGGUACCUAAACAGAAAGCCACGGCUAACUUCGUG
Molecule: ribosomal RNA, 497 nt
Filed under: uncultured bacterium
Lineage: Bacteria
Description: partial 16S ribosomal RNA
Rfam family: Bacterial small subunit ribosomal RNA
Source: RNAcentral